ACCUGGGUGGCUCAGUUGGUUGAGCAUCUGACUCUUGAUUUCUGCUCAGGUCAUGAUCCCAGGGCCGUGGGAUCAAACCCCACAUCAGGCU
Molecule: transfer RNA, 91 nt
Filed under: Felis catus (domestic cat)
Lineage: Eukaryota; Metazoa; Chordata; Mammalia; Carnivora; Felidae
Rfam family: tRNA
About the family: Transfer RNA (tRNA) molecules are approximately 80 nucleotides in length. Their secondary structure includes four short double-helical elements and three loops (D, anti-codon, and T loops).
Source: Rfam by way of RNAcentral